UGCGCAGGCGGAACUUUAAGUCAGUGGUGAAAUCUUGCCGCUUAACGGUAAAAUUGCCAUUGACACUGAAGUUCUUGAAUAUGGUUGAGGUAGGCGGAAUGUGUUGUGUAGCGGUGAAAUGCAUAGAUAUGACACAGAACUCCGAUUGCGAAGGCAGCUUACUAAACCAUUAUUGACGCUGAGGCACGAAAGCGUGGGGAGCGAACAGGAUUAGAUACCCUGGUAGUCC
RNAcentral lists this ribosomal RNA (229 nucleotides) under uncultured bacterium. RNAcentral describes it as "partial 16S ribosomal RNA". It matches the Rfam family "Bacterial small subunit ribosomal RNA", at positions 568 to 796 of the family's 1533-position model. The record is from RNAcentral.